AUGGAGAAGGCCCUCACCAAGCUCGGCAGCUUCACCAUCCCCCGCAAGGCCAAGCAGGAGCUCUCUGCCAUCGGCGGCGACAUCUCGCGCAUCUCAAGCACCGUGGAGGAGAAGGCCAAAUGGGUGUUCGAGAAACUCAAAGGCAAACCAAACAAGUCCCUCUCUGACCUGCUGCGCGAGUACAACCUCCCUCCGGGCCUCUUCCCUCGGAACAUCAUCUGCUACGAGUACGACCAGACGAGCUCGAGGCUCGUGGUGCACCUGGCCAAGCCCUGCGAGGUGAGCUUCAAGGACUCCUCCAUGAUACGGUACGCCACCCGCGUGAAGGCGACCCUGUCCCGAGGCAAGCUCUCGGCGAUCGAGGGCAUGAAGACCAAGGUGGUGGUGUGGGUGAAGGUGACCACCGUGAACCUGGAGAGCUUCCGGUCCGACAAGGUGUGCUUCAUCGCCGGCGUGAAGAAGCUGAGGCAGAAGGACGCCUACGAGGUGCCCCGCGAAGCCGCCUCCGUCGAGGAGUUCUGA
RNAcentral lists this ribosomal RNA (522 nucleotides) under Triticum aestivum (bread wheat). Its description in RNAcentral is "partial small subunit ribosomal RNA". The record is from RNAcentral. Lineage: Eukaryota; Viridiplantae; Streptophyta; Magnoliopsida; Poales; Poaceae.